GACGAACGCUGGCGGCGUGCUUAACACAUGCAAGUCGAGCGGUAAGGCCCUUUCGGGGGUACACGAGCGGCGAACGGGUGAGUAACACGUGGGUGACCUGCCCUCAGCUCUGGGAUAAGCCUGGGAAACUGGGUCUAAUACCGGAUAUGACUCCGCGACGCAUGUUGUGGGGUGGAAAGCCUUGUGCGGCUGAGGAUGGGCCCGCGGCCUAUCAGCUUGUUGGUGGGGUGAUGGCCUACCAAGGCGACGACGGGUAGCCGGCCUGAGAGGGCGACCGGCCACACUGGGACUGAGACACGGCCCAGACUCCUACGGGAGGCAGCAGUGGGGAAUCUUGCGCAAUGGGCGAAAGCCUGACGCAGCGACGCCGCGUGAGGGAUGACGGCCU
This 388-nucleotide ribosomal RNA is filed under the name uncultured bacterium. Its description in RNAcentral is "bacterial SSU rRNA". It matches the Rfam family "Bacterial small subunit ribosomal RNA", at positions 28 to 417 of the family's 1533-position model. The record is from RNAcentral.